Non-coding RNA from Vicugna pacos (alpaca), 171 nucleotides. NCBI's taxonomy places the organism in Eukaryota, Metazoa, Chordata, Mammalia, Artiodactyla, Camelidae. The record is from RefSeq and is a predicted model, not a curated record.
AUUAGGUCCCAUUUUAAAAUUCUGGUUUUAUUUCUUUUGCCUUGGGAGACUGAUCUAAGAAAAUAUUGUUACAAUUUAUGUCAGAGAAUGUUUUGCCUAUAUUCUCUUCCAGGAGUUUUAUGAUGUCAUGUCUUAUAUUCAGGAGGUCUUUUCACCUUUUUGAAGUUUUGU